RNAcentral lists this long non-coding RNA (5038 nucleotides) under Bemisia tabaci. RNAcentral's name for it is "lncRNA ENSSSA3NGG013791". Lineage: Eukaryota; Metazoa; Arthropoda; Insecta; Hemiptera; Aleyrodidae. The record is from RNAcentral.
CGGAAACAAUCUAAAUUAAUAAUGACCCAAAUGGAUGUCAACGUCAUCAUUAAAAUAAAAAAGGAGUUGAGAUAAGAGAGCUGCUCAUUUCAUGACAACAAUGUUUUCGAUGUUCAUUGAUUUUUAAUUUAUCAACGCUAUUCAUCUAAAAUUAAAAUGAUAUGAUGCACCAAGUGAAUCGAAGAGGUUUCAGAAACAAAAAUCCAGAGUAAAAAUUCAGUUUCGAUUUUGAAGCCGCCGGAUUGUGAUGAUAUUUGUAUAUUCCCAUCUAAGACGAUUACAUAGAAAACGAAACCUCUGUUACAUGAGACCGUUAACCACAAAAAAACUGAGGGGAUACUUAAUUUUGUGAUGUUUCGACUCUAAUUUCUGACCUGUAAUGAAUCUGCACAUCUGGUUCCCAGGAUCAAAUGCAAAAGACGAGAUUGUUCUUCAGGAGAUUAGCAUUUUAAAGAACCAGAAAGAUGAUUCUGGUUGCGCUGCUACUGAUUUUAUUCGACAUAGUAAGUUCAUUUCUUCUGUUAUUUCUUUACGCGCAUGUACCUUUACACCAGGGUCUCACCAUAAAAUUCAUCAUGCCAUUAUACAUUCUGUGAAACAUUCUGAUAUAGGUCAAAUUUAUUUCGUUUGUUUAUUUGUUUUCAAAUUCCAUGUUCGUGAGUUAAGUUAUAAACUGCUCAACCAAACCUGUCUUUUGCCUUUCUUGCAGGAAGCUACAAAUAUCGUCGAAGAACAAUCUACAUGCUCCACCUUCCAGAAUCUCACAAAGACACCUAAAUUCAUUGACAAAUCCCUGCUGAUCAGACAUAUCCUGGAUAGCUCCAGACACAUCUACAUAUCAGCUCCACCAGGUUUCGGUAAAUCAACCAACCUGCAGAUGCUCAAGGAGUUUUUCGCCUUGGAGGUGGACUCACGUGGAGAUUUCAUUGAUCCGGUGAAGGUUUUAAAAUCGGACGAGACCUUCCAAGACUCCCUGAAGAGAUGCGUGGACGACCGUCAGAACACCUCGACAGGACGUGGAACCUUUGUAACCGAUAUUAAAGGUCUAUGUGCCUACGUGAACGUCACAAAACCUUUCAGCGUUUUUGCGAACCCUCUGAAUAGCUACGAUACCUUCUCCAAGUUGCCACUAAAAAUACAUAAGGAAUCGCCGAAUCUUUUCGAGACUCAGUUCGCACGCUAUCCUGUUCUCUUGGUCGACUUUGGAGCUCUAUCUACGAAGUCCUUCCAAGAUUACGUGCGUUCCUUUCAAAUACUUGUCUUGAAGCUCUUCGAGCAAUUUCAGUACUUGCUUAAGAGCAGCGCUCUAACUCAAGGUUCCAAGGACGAAUUUUUACUCUUCCAUGACCAAGAACAACACAAAGAACUGAGCAUAGACGAGGUCAUUCUUGGGGGAGAGAAACUCGUUCUUCUGUUGUCAGCUCAUCAUGACCGAAAAUCGAUAGUUUUGGUGGACAACUUCGAUGUGCCCAUUCGUAAGGCUCUGCUGGCGCCACACCUGGACGAGGUAAUCUUUAAGAGGAUCAUGUGGAGUGCUUCUCAUUUUGUCAAGUUGCUCGUAGAAAGCAAGUUCGUCUUUCGGAUCGUGGUGACGGGUAAUCUUAGGAUUGACACCACAAAUGGAUUAAAAUGCCUUUCCAUUUUCGAUGAUGAACAUUUGUAUCGGUACUACGGCCUCAUGAAAAAUGAUAUCUCUCAACUUGCGAGAAGAUUUAACAAACAAGAACACAUUAGCAACGUCGGAAGUUGGUAUGGCGGCUACAAAGUAACACGUAAGGGUCACUGUCUCUACAACACACGCUCAACAUUACGCUAUUUUGAGACUGGCGAGUUCAAACCUUAUCGAGAUGAAGCGAAUAUAUUAAAACCCUCAAAAAAGUGCUGAGCUACACUCGAGCGGGUCGUUAUGUCGAGGACUCCUUCGAGGAUAACACAACGCUUGUCAUGCGAGAGAAGAUUGAGUAUAGUCACUUUGAAGAUCUGCGAUUGACAAUCUUCAACCCUAAUCGACCACUUGACAAGAAAGACCUAGUUUUGCAGAUCCUCUUCGAUCAUGGUUUUUUCACGCUGGGAAACAGAAAUAAACUUAAAGUGCCAAACAUCGAAGCUAUGCAAGACAUCAAGAGUCUAAUCUUCGACCGAACAUACUACAUGACCAAACUGAAAAUCACGAAAGAAAUCAUUCGUGCUUUCUUGAGAAGCAUAGAGGGACUGAGUGGGGAGGACGGGCCUUUCCACGACUUCUCCAGAGCGGUCAUAGAGCUUUUCAGGGGUCAAGUGCCGCGAAGUGCGCGGGAAAUGGCACACACCUUGGUCUUUCUAGCGGCCGAUGCUCGAAAGUUCAGCCUGGUGCGUGGUGAAGAGACCCCAGAUGGCAAUCGACAAGACGUCCUCGUGAAGCGGUCUACAGAAAUGGGGAUUGUAAUAGGGAUCAUGGUUGGGUCGGUCAACGAUGAAGCGCUGAAACCCGUUUUUACGAAGAGUUUACAGGUCUUUCAUGACUGUAGGGUGAAGGUUGCCAUCCUGUUGGGUUUGAAACCGGGUGAAAAGGGUGGAGAUCUUGAAGUUUUAUUUACCGAAAUAUUACCGUCCGAAAACCAAUCCGUCGUGGAGAGGAGUGAACAUCUCCAUCAUGAGGCACAUGUAAACCAUGGCGCCAUGACAAGAAAAGAGAAAAUUGUAAUCGGUCAUGUUGUCACAUCAUCCACCCUGUCUUCGACAGCCACAUUUAAUCAGAACCAGACCGUUAAACCUUGAGAUAUGUGGGCACUAAAAGGAUACAUGGAUACAAUACGCACAAGGAUACAGGGAUAUAAUGAGGCAAGACUUUCUGCUGCGUAAAAGCUGAGAAAAGUAAGGAAAAAAUUCCAUCGUAAUUUAUUUAAUCACCGUCGAUCAUUUUCGGACAGUUUCCGGAAGAAUUAGAAUUAUCUCAGUUUCCCAAUCCCUUUCGACGGCACUUUUGAAUUUUAAUCUGUCAAUCUGCUCCAAUUAGAGAGUCGAUGUCAUCAAUACUUCUUUCAAAAAAGUAAGCUUUUUACCUACAUUAUUUUGAAAUUGUAUUACAUAAAAAAAAACGAAAGAUUUAAAUACUUCAUCGAAUGAGACUAUGCUUCUAAUUACUCAUAAAUGUUAAAAUUCUGUAGUUAAGGGCUGAAGAACCGUUAACAACAUUUUCACCGAUUCGAGAAAUCAGAGAAAAACCGUGCGACAACUCUAUUGCAUUGCCAGCAUCGUAUUUUGCAAAUUUAAAAACCCUGUAUCUUGGGCCUGAUGUAACAUAUCAUAGCCAAUGUGUUUACAAGUACGAUAUAAAAAUAUCGAGAACGCAAAUAACUCGAUUUUUCCAAAAUUGUUGAUUACGUUUCUUCAGCGCUUGAUUAUAAAGUGAUGAAUCUUCAAUGAUCACUAUGUUUGCAUGGAUAAGAAAAUUCAUCACUAAGAUUGGUUUCCAACUAUCGCGCAUGUUGUUGGUAACGAUUAGCUUGAUAAUGAAACACCUAAGAGAAUCAGAUAUGAAAAGUCCCUUCAAACCGGUGAGUAUGCUUGGUGCUACAUCAGUGGAGUCUGUAAAAUCGUAUCACUCAGAAAUGAAGGCGCACAGGAGGACACAGGACACACGCUAUUCGCGCACAGUGGAUCGAGUCAAUCAGAGAGGUCGGACAUGAAAUUUAUGACAAAAACUGCAAAUGUUGAUGUUUAUUUCGUCAUAUUUAAACUUCAAGGGGUGCUUGAAGUGGAAAAUUUCACGAAGAAACCAAUGAACUCGCUUUUAGAACCUCAAAGUUUGUAUCUAAACGGAGUUAAAAGCGUUUAUACUAUCCUUUGUUCCGAUCUCUCCUAUUGACUCGAUCCACUGUGUGGCGUCAAGGACUCCUGGACACUGACAAAGAGUCAGGCUCUCAAUGCGGAUGAUGAAACUUUUGGAAAAGAGAAGGUGGGUUUUAAGACAGAAAAAAAUUUAUUUAGGCGUAUUUAAACAUAUCAGUCUGUUAUUAAAAAAUCUAGAAUGACAACAACAGCAAAUUUAACUAUAUUAGUAACUUAAAACCUCAGAAAAGUUUUCAAAAGGAAUGUUUUGCAAUUAAUUUAUGAAAAAUAAGACUCUAUAUAUUUGUGACUUCAAGAAAAUUGGGGGAAUGGGGGGGGGGGGGGUUGGAUUUUAUACAUUUUGUGUAUGGUGUCAAUACCUUGUGGAGAUUUAAAAAUUCAUGAGAUCAUAAAAUGUGAAAACAAGUUAAAUGAACUCUCUAAAACCCGCAUUGAAUUAAAAUGGAAGUAUAAAUGUUACUGUAUGAGAUUUUGAAUUUAACAAUGGGACACGAUUUCAAUUUUGAAGGACGUAAGCACAGAACCUUUUGAAGGAAGAAGCAAAGAGGACAAUAAUUCUAUCGUCUCUAUCAUUAUGCGCGUGCAGGACUUUAACGUCAAAUCGGCCUCCAAAGCAAGUAAUGAAUGAAAAACUACUACGAAUUUCCACGAAUAAUAUUUUGGGUUCUUUAUUUUUCACUCUAUAAACCUUUUUAGACACUUUCAUGAAAGUAUAGUGGGUCUGGCCUCUUGAAAACCUGAAAAUGUGUGAAAAAGGACCGAUUUCACUUUGGUGUAUAGGAUCAUAUUUUAUCACUUUGUUGCUAUCAACGCUAUUUAUCUGAAAUCAUUAUGGACGUUAUAAUCUGGUUGAGUCGGUAGAAUUAAUCUAACAACGAGGCAAAGUAUAGAGGUUUUGACACUUGACAAAGUGUUUUCUUUGACGAUGGAUAGUAAAACCGAGAAAUCCUUCCAAGAACACGCGAGAUAUCAAAAGUGACACAUCGUAGGAGUUGCACAGUGGCCAAUUUCUGAUGAAAUCGUACACUAACUUUCGAGAAUCAAAUGUCUUUUCAAAAAAGACCGUCUUUCAGAAAUUCGGAACCCUUGAAGAGGCGAAAAGAUGAUUUGCAAUUGCUCUUUCUGCUUGCACCCGUUUUAGUAAGUCCAGCUCUCCCAUUCUAUUUCCUCUUUAUAUCUAUGAAAAGAAAGCCAUAAUGAUGAAAAU